AUACGUAGGGGGCAAGCGUUGUCCGGAAUUAUUGGGCGUAAAGCGCGCGCAGGCGGUACAUUAAGUCUUGUGUUUAACUCCAGGGCUCAACCCUGGCACGCAUGGGAAACUGGUGUACUGGAGUGCAGGAGAGGAAAGCGGAAUUCCACGUGUAGCGGUGAAAUGCGUAGAGAUGUGGAGGAACACCAGUGGCGAAGGCGGCUUUCUGGCCUGCAACUGACGCUGAGGCGCGAAUGCGUGGGGAGCAAACAGGAUUAGAUACCCUGGUAGUCCACGCCGUAAACGAUGAGUGCUAGGUGUCGGGGGUUUCGAUACCUUCGGUGCCGAAGUAAACACAAUAAGCACUCCGCCUGGGGAGUACACUCGCAAGAGUGAA
RNAcentral lists this ribosomal RNA (376 nucleotides) under uncultured bacterium. RNAcentral's name for it is "bacterial SSU rRNA". It matches the Rfam family "Bacterial small subunit ribosomal RNA", at positions 523 to 898 of the family's 1533-position model. The record is from RNAcentral.